GCACUAAUGGGGUAGUGGUAACCUGGGUCGUUGCCAUAUAUAGUAUCGACCCGCCGCGAGUUCGAUUCUCGCUUAGUGCA
RNAcentral lists this transfer RNA (80 nucleotides) under Wolfiporia cocos MD-104 SS10. RNAcentral's name for it is "tRNA-Gly". It matches the Rfam family "tRNA". Rfam says of the family: Transfer RNA (tRNA) molecules are approximately 80 nucleotides in length. Lineage: Eukaryota; Fungi; Basidiomycota; Agaricomycetes; Polyporales; Phaeolaceae. The record is from RNAcentral.